Triticum aestivum (bread wheat) is the source of this 1870-nucleotide RNA transcript. RefSeq lists it as uncharacterized. The transcript has 9 exons. The record is from RefSeq and is a predicted model, not a curated record. Lineage: Eukaryota; Viridiplantae; Streptophyta; Magnoliopsida; Poales; Poaceae.
CUCCUCCUCCCGCACUCACGCGCCGCCUCUGCUCGCCAGCCCUCUCCCACCCACAUCGCCGCCCCACCCACAUCGCCGCCGACGCCGCUCGUCAGACCUCGCCGCCACUGACUUCUCUCCUCAUCUCCCUCGCACCACGCCGCCCGCAACCUCCCUUCUCUCGUCAUGAGAAGGGACGGGAAGAGAAGAGGGAGAGCGAGCAGGUCAGGCGGCGGCCAUGGCGCUCGCAGAUCCGCCAGAGCUGUUGUUCGACCCUGGCCUCCGAGUGCUUCUGCUCAGUGGCGUGACGUACGGGCUGCCUGCUUCGCGCUCAUGCCAUGGCCUGCUUGGGACGCCGCCUCCUGCUGCUCCAACCCUAACCCUAGCAUUGCUGCUGCUGCUCCAGGGAUGGGAGGGUUUUAUAAUUCUAAUGAUGUUCCAGCUAGGAGAAGGCAAACUCACAAACAUAAGCCAGUUUUUCCGUGGGCGCUGGCCUUGGAUACAUGAUUUCUUGACCUAACGUGACACACCAUCCUCCUCUGCCAGCCGCGUACAGGCCCGCCCUUCUUACUCUAGCAGCAGAAGAUCAUGGAGGAGGCCGCGUCGGGCUCGCUGUGUUGCCAUCAUCGGGACGAGUGGAGGCUGCCGCUUGCGCAGAUGCUUCCAGGAGGAGCGCCAGAGCGCAUUGUCGCCAUCGAUAGGAGGAACACCAGACGGGAAUCAAGCCAAGGGAGCUGGACCUAUGGUGCUGCCAGCGCAGCACUUAAGGGCUUGGAGGUUGACAAGGCGAAAGAGGCCUGUUGUCAGCCACCAAAUUAUGAUGUUGAGUACUGCCCGAGCGGAAGAUAGCAAGGCGGUUGAUGUAGGAUAUGGAGUAAGCAGAGAUAGCGGCAGUGGACGCAACUACCACGUCGGUGGGCGCACCAGAGGCACAACACAAGGACAUUCAAAAGGCAGUGACUGUUUGCCUCUGCUGUAUCGACGACCCUGAUCAUGUUGGACAGAUAAAUAAGAUAUUACUAGAUGUGAAGUUCUUUCCUCUACAUGGACGGGUGCGGCAAUCGCACGCAUUUGUGAUCUAGGAUAAAUGCUUUUGCUUUAUCAUAGGCCACUAAACAUGCUAAGCUUGCGUGGCUGGAACACACGCUUUGCGGGAGAAGCACGAGGCGCUGCACCUCUGACCCUGUAGUGCUUGGCUCCAAUUCAUCAGGGAAGACGCCGGCAAGCAUCAAGCUGCCCUUGGUGCUUCCUCGUCAUCAAGGAGGAGGACGUCAGGAAGCGCCGUCCUCAAGGUUGCCAUCGCUCCUCGGCGCUCUGCGGGCACAACCGUCACCACACCACAGAGAAGGACGUGGAUGUGAUGCUGCUCCUUCUUGUGGUGUAUGCGUCGGCGUGGCUUGCGGUAAUGAGGCAUAUCCUCGUGGGUAAUGCUAUUUGAAGACCAUUCAUGUGAUUUAAAAGAGAAGAUGUCCAGAAUGUCUAAGGAGGUUGAAGAUGACGAUCAAAAGAUUGAUCCAUUAAGUGACUGCCAAGAUGCCAAUAAUGCUUGCCCCGUGCCAUUAGUAAUACCCUUGCUCUUUAUGAAAUCUUUCCUAUUAUAUAUUGAUGCAACAAUUAUCGUUGCAGUUUGUGAGAUCCUUAUUUACAUACAUCACUCAGCGGCUGGCCUGUACAGAGUUGCGUGGCAGGCAUAUGUGUUCCCAACCAUGUUAUCAAUUGUAGGCUUGGAAUGAUUUGCGUCAUCCAAGUGUUGUUUGUCAACAAUUCCUUUUUUUGUCCAUGUCGAUUCUGAUUUUAGAGGACACAUAUGUUUCGGAACUAUAUUGUUUCUAUGUUUUUCCCUGAUAUAUACUAAUUGAUGCAGUAAUUGAUGUUUCAGAUUAUGAAAUUC